This is an RNA transcript of Prunus avium (sweet cherry), 2247 nucleotides long. It is a transcript of the gene named tyrosylprotein sulfotransferase, with no coding region annotated. The record is from RefSeq and is a predicted model, not a curated record. Lineage: Eukaryota; Viridiplantae; Streptophyta; Magnoliopsida; Rosales; Rosaceae.
UCCAUUUGGAGUGGCGCGCGCACAAAUACAUGCAGAGACUUUUAAAGACCCACUGAUCCUCAACCAAUCAACAUCAAACACAAAAUUGCAGAGUUUUUAAAAAUAAAAAUAAAAAUGAAAUUUUCCUGUGAAAAUUGCUGUUUCUGUUUGGUUGCUGAGAAAAUUUGAAACCAGGGGACCGAGCGACCUUUUCAGGAUCUCUGGAAGGUUCUGAAAGGUGGGGCCUCAAUCCUCGUUGAUCGGCCUCACCGCUGUCUGCUAGAGUCCCAACACCGUUUAUGAGCACGAGACCCCCAAUUUCGAUACAGUGUGUGGAGUAGGAAUAAGGUGUAUGGAUCCUACUCUAAAAUUCUCUAUCCUGCUGUUGCUUCUCGGAUUGGGCUGCUAUUCUUGGGGUUCUCAUAACUCAUCCACAGCUGUGAAUGCCUCUCCUAUUAAGAAUGAUUUUGAGCAUUGUGAAAGAGCAGUCAAAAAAUGGGCAUUUUCUUCACUUCAACAAGAAGUUAAAGACAAACACACUCUGCGGGAUUUGCUAUUUUUCCUUCACGUCCCCAGAACAGGAGGGCGUACAUAUUUCCACUGUUUCUUGAGAAAGUUGUACUAUAGCUCUCUGGAAUGCCCUCGAUCGUAUGAUAAGCUUCGAUUUGAUCCUAGAAAACAGCAGUGCAGAUUGUUGGUUACUCAUGAUGAUUAUAGUAUGAUGUCCAAACUUCCCAGGGAGAGAACAUCAGUAGUGACAAUACUUAGGAAUCCGGUUGACCGUGUUUUUAGUACUUACGAAUUUUCGGUAGAGGUAGCUGCAAGGUUUUUGGUGCAUCCUAACUUAACUUCUGCAACACAAAUGACAAGACGUAUACGGGCAAAGACUAAAGGAGUAAGCACACUGGAUAUUUGGCCAUGGAAAUAUUUGGUUCCAUGGAUGAGGGAAGACCUUUUUACUCGGAGAGAUGGUCGAAAGCUUAGGGGCUCAAAUAACUUUGAGAGCAAGGACCCAUACAACAUGGAAGAAAUUGUGAUGCCAUUACACAAGUUCAUCAAUCACCCUAUAGCUCAAGAAGUUGUUCACAAUGGAGCAACAUUUCAGGUUGCAGGAUUGACAAACAACUCCUAUCUAUCAGAAGCACAUGAAGUGCGCCAUUGUGUACAGAAGUAUAAACUUCUUGGUGACCAUGUCCUACAAGUCGCAAAGAAGAAGUUGGAUGAUAUGUUAUAUGUCGGUCUCACUGAGGAGCACAGAGAAUCUGCAACAAUGUUUGCAAAUGUAGUUGGUGCCCAGGUGAUUUCACAGCUGGGAGGAUCAAAUUCUAGUGAGGAGAGUGCUGCUGACAGCAAAUCCGAACAGAACUACUCAGAUUCAGAUUCCAAGCCGGAUAAUAAUGAUCUUCGGAACAGAACCCCAAAUGGGAAGGAAAGUGAGUUUGCUUCUCCUGAAACUGUUGAACCAGCGAAAGGAAAUAUGACUGUGGAAGAACUUAUGGAAUCUUAUGAAGACUGCAUUUCUAAUUUACGGAAGUCCCAAACACUCCGGCACAACGCUUCUUUGAAGAGAAUCUCCCCGGCAAACUUUACAAAGGAGUAUGACAGGCACGACUUCAGGUUCCUGAAGCGGUCCUCCAGCAGAUAAGGCAACUUAACCACCUUGAUUUGGAGCUUUAUAAACAUGCGCAGAAUAUCUUUGCAAAGCAACAUAAGCGUAAUUUUGGCAUCACAGAAAUUUGGCGGAGGAUGCUGAAGAGCUCAUAUGGCACAGGCAUAAAAGUCCUCUCAUUAGGCGCGACUCUUGUUUUACUCCUUUUGGCCUUCCAUGUAUUUGUUAACGCGAAAAGAAGAACUUCAAAAGUUAAAGUAUGAAUAUAUCUUUCAUAGACUGUAAGGAUCACAGUGAUAAAAUUAUUGGGAAAACUGAUAUAGUUUUCAUCCAUUGGUUUUAUUUUGGGUCAUUCGCAUCAGCCCAUCCUUGGUUGGAUCUGUCAACUGCAUGUUUGAAACUCAGUCGCAGAAAAGGUGACUAUUUAGUUUCAAUGGUUGUAGCCAUGAUGAUAUCUGCAUCUUGAAAACAAAAAUGGAUCACAAACCAGUAAUGCUCCUUAAGAAGUUCAAUUUUUGUGUAAUUAAUAAAGAUUAUUGUGAGCUCACCCUCUUGCACUCAAGUUCGAGUCCCCUUCCCCGUAGAUUAGAUUAAUUUUGAGUAGUUUAGAUUGUAGCUUGUAUCUUUUUCAUAAAAUGAUUGUUGUGACUUAUGACUUA